UGGGGAUGACGUCAAGUCCUCAUGGCCCUUAUGGGUAGGGCUUCACACGUAAUACAAUGGUCGGUACAGAGGGUUGCCAACCCGCGAGGGGGAGCCAAUACCCAGAAAACCGAUCGUAGUCCGGAUUGCAGUCUGCAACUCGACUGCAUGAAGUCGGAAUCGCUAGUAAUCGCGGAUCAGCAUGUCCGCGGUCGAAUACGUUCCGGCCUU
RNAcentral lists this ribosomal RNA (210 nucleotides) under uncultured Gallionellaceae bacterium. RNAcentral describes it as "partial 16S ribosomal RNA". It matches the Rfam family "Bacterial small subunit ribosomal RNA", at positions 1174 to 1374 of the family's 1533-position model. The record is from RNAcentral. Lineage: Bacteria; Pseudomonadati; Pseudomonadota; Betaproteobacteria; Nitrosomonadales; Gallionellaceae.